CGUGAGCGGCGGACGGGUGAGUAACGCGUGGGUAACCUGCCUCAUACAGGGGGAUAACAGUUGGAAACGGCUGCUAAUACCGCAUAAGCGCACAGUACCGCAUGGUACGGUGUGAAAAACUCCGGUGGUAUGAGAUGGACCCGCGCUGAUUAGGUAGUUGGUGGGGUAACGGCCUACCAAGCCGACGAUCAGUAGCCGACCUGAGAGGGUGACCGGCCACAUUGGGACUGAGACACGGCCCAA
RNAcentral lists this ribosomal RNA (243 nucleotides) under uncultured bacterium. RNAcentral's name for it is "partial 16S ribosomal RNA". It matches the Rfam family "Bacterial small subunit ribosomal RNA", at positions 90 to 334 of the family's 1533-position model. The record is from RNAcentral.